AAAGUCCCGGAAUAUCUUAUCUAUAGCAGAAAGUUAAAAAAUUUUUGCGUUUACUUCACACAAGAGCAGCCAUUUUCCCCUGUUGCUGUGGGAACGUUAUGAAGUGAUGCAAUUACAGGAA
Molecule: long non-coding RNA, 121 nt
Organism: Etheostoma cragini (Arkansas darter)
Lineage: Eukaryota; Metazoa; Chordata; Actinopteri; Perciformes; Percidae
Exons: 4
Source: RefSeq, a predicted model, not a curated record